GGAAGAGAAAAGUUGAGGACCUGAAACAAGAUCUGAGGAGAGAGAUGUGAGGAAAAUGGAUUUUGGAAAUGGAAGGAUUUACGGCUAGAGACUCUACGGCCUAGGCAUGGUGGUUCAGCAAGAUUCUACAACUUUCUGUCAAUGGCAACAAACUUUCCAGCAACUUUCUAGUGCACUGGCGUUGGAUUUUGUUAGGACAGAAAAUUUGGAGUCUGGUGGUGGUAUCCUUUGCUAGUGAGAGAGCUUGUUGGUGGUA
This 256-nucleotide unclassified non-coding RNA is filed under the name Hevea brasiliensis (rubber tree). Lineage: Eukaryota; Viridiplantae; Streptophyta; Magnoliopsida; Malpighiales; Euphorbiaceae. The record is from RNAcentral.